Molecule: ribosomal RNA, 743 nt
Filed under: uncultured bacterium
Lineage: Bacteria
Description: bacterial SSU rRNA
Rfam family: Bacterial small subunit ribosomal RNA
Source: RNAcentral
UACUGGUAGUCUUGAGUCUGGAGAGGAAAGCGAACGACACGUGUAGCGGUGAAAUGCGUUGAUAUGUGUCGGAACACCGAUGGCGAAAGCAGCUUUCUGGACAAGUACUGACGCUGAGGUUCGAAAGCCAAGGGAGCGAACAGGAUUAGAUACCCUGGUAGUCUUGGCCAUAAACGAUGUUCACUAGGCGUCGGGGCUUUGCUUCGGUGCCGCAGCUAACGCAUUAAGUGAACCGCCUGGGAACUACGAUCGCAAGAUUAAAACUCAAAGGAAUUGGCGGGGGCCCGCACAAGCGGUGGAGCAUAUGGCUUAAUUCGAUGCAACGCGAAGAACCUUACCAGGGCUUGACAUGCAACUGCACGCUGUAGAGAUACAGUUCUUUCGAAGGUGUUGCACAGGUGGUGCAUGGCUGUCGUCAGCUCGUGUCGUGAGAUGUUGGGUUAAGUCCCGCAACGAGCGCAACCCUCACGGUCUGUUACCAGCGGAUAAUGCCGGGGACUCGGACUGAACUGCCUCUGUAAAGAGGAGGAAGGUGGGGAUGACGUCAAGUCAUCAUGCCCCUUACAGGCUGGGCUACACGCGUGCUACAAUGGCGGUGACAGAGGGACGCAAUGGAGCAAUCCUGCGCAAAUCUCAAAAAGCCGUCUCAGUUCGGAUUGUGCUCUGCAACUCGAGCACAUGAAGUUGGAAUCGCUAGUAAUCGCAGAUCAGCACGCUGCGGUGAAUACGUUCCCGGGCCUUGU